Molecule: ribosomal RNA, 373 nt
Filed under: uncultured bacterium
Lineage: Bacteria
Description: bacterial SSU rRNA
Rfam family: Bacterial small subunit ribosomal RNA
Source: RNAcentral
AUACGUAGGGGGCGAGCGUUGUCCGGAAUUACUGGGCGUAAAGAGCACGUAGGCGGCUAUAUAAGUCAGGUGUGAAAAACCUGGGCUUAACCGAGGGUUUGCAUCUGAAACUAUAUAGCUUGAGUCAAGGAGAGGAGAGCGGAAUUCCUGGUGUAGCGGUGAAAUGCGUAGAGAUCAGGAAGAAUACCAGUGGCGAAAGCGGCUCUCUGGACUUGAACUGACGCUGAGGUGCGAAAGCGUGGGGAGCAAACAGGAGUAGAUACAGUGGUAGUCCACGCCGUAAACGAUGGAUACUAGGUGUGGGUGAGGAAUCAUCCGUGCCGGAGUUAACGCAAUAAGUAUCCCGCCUGGGGAGUACGGCCGCAAGGUUGAA